UUGAAGAGGUGCAGAUGUAAAAAACU
RNAcentral lists this non-coding RNA (26 nucleotides) under Homo sapiens (human). Lineage: Eukaryota; Metazoa; Chordata; Mammalia; Primates; Hominidae. The record is from RNAcentral.